CCCCUCUUUUCCAUGCCUAUGAGGGAUGCCGCUUCUGAAACUGUUUUCGAUCUCUUUCAGAAAUCAAAAUGGAGAGUGAAGAGAGUGAGAGAUUGGAGAAAGAACAAAAAUCUUGGUGCCUGAAGUAAGAAGUCCGGCAUUGUUCACAAUCCAAAAACAUCCUCAGAUGACCAGAGAACUACACUUGAUUAAAGAACAAAAUUCUGAAUGGUGUCCAUAUCUCAUCCCCUUUCCUUUCCAAGCUUUUGGGCAACCUCUCUGAUUUCCUAGAAGACAAGAUAAUGUAAUUAUUAGGGUAGGUGGUGCUCUACGACUCCCUCUAGGUAAAACAGUUCCUUACCCUGCCAGCUCUGUUCCCUACGCAGGAGCAGACACUAAUUCUCUGUCUGCUUUGUCUGACUCAGUUCACACUCAGGUCUAGGGCACUGAAAUGGCUCCUUGAUGGGAAAUAAUAUUUUGGAUCAACCUCUCCUACUUUAGAUCGGAUCCCUCUCCUAAUUUGUCAUAGUGUGUUUUUAUAUGGAACUCCUUGUUGUAGGAAUACUGGCUUUUUUAUCUGUCUUGAAUUCUAAAGUGAUGGCUCACUCCAUCCUGUAUCCUUGGGCCUGAACAACUACCUCUUCAGUCGGGAUGGGAGUGGUGUAUUUGAUGAUGUUGUCUGAUGUGGUCAUGAUAAUAUCUUAAAAUAGAAAAGAGCAUAUACUAUAGUAGCAUGAUUACUAUGCUCUAGAGAAAGGCCCGCCACUUAUAAGGAACACUUGCCCCUCUGUCCAGAUCAGUAACAAAUACGAUGACCAAAGUAAUGCACAGGUAACAGUUAGCACCGAAUUCUCAAUGCUGGGAGAUGGAGAAACACAGUGAUGGAACCAUCCCUGGAUCCAGGAGCCACUUCUAUCUGGGCUGAUGCUGAUGUUGGGAGAAUCCACCUAAUCAGCCAGCAAUUAACAAGCUUUUGCAGGCAGCACUGAAGAAAGCAAGACAUCCUAGAAGCCCUGAGGCCUAUUUCUCCUCUUGAGAAAAAUGGGAUGCUGGCGAUGGUCUGCGGACAGCUGUACAAGGAUAAAACAGUAAAACACUCAAAACAAGGGGCAAUCAAUAGAGUCCAACCAACAAUUCUCAGAGAAGGAUUGACUGAUCUCCCAAUCCUUGGCCAAGUCAAGAAGCCAGAGAUGGAUAUUAUGUCCCAAUGGAUGUAGACAGCAAUUGUCUUGGUGGUCAACAGGUGUCUUGAUCCCCAUGUUUCAUCCAGCUGGACACAGAGCUCAGGAGAAGAGCAGUCGCUAUGACGACAUGAGGGAAGAAGUCUAGGACUCUUUCAGCUCAUGGGUUAGUGGAAUUAGGAAAAGCAGAAAAUACAACACUCCGAGGCUACCUUAGUCUGCAGAUAUCCCAGCGGUCAUGGAUUGGCCCUUCAAAGGAGGACUUUGGGAAGACCGAGCAGCAAAAAUCGCUCUUUAUAAUCUACAUAAGGGCCCUGGAGGGUUGUAGACUGUUCUGCUAGUAAGGCUCAGGCUGUAAUGUUUCCAUUCAUACAUCUCGCCCCUGCCUGUGCAGACUGUUAGGAUUUGGCUGGUUACUAACAUGUUCUGUACAGAGUAGAUUCCAAUAAAGUUUUCUUGCAUUUA
This is a long non-coding RNA of Peromyscus eremicus (cactus mouse), 1625 nucleotides long. RefSeq lists it as uncharacterized. The transcript is spliced from 2 exons. The record is from RefSeq and is a predicted model, not a curated record. Lineage: Eukaryota; Metazoa; Chordata; Mammalia; Rodentia; Cricetidae.